ACAGCAGCAGCCACGGGAAUACAGAGGGUGCGAGCGUUAAUCGGAUUUACUGGGCGUAAAGCGUGCGUAGGCGGCUUCUUAAGUCGGAUGUGAAAUCCCUGAGCUUAACUUAGGAAUUGCAUUCGAUACUGGGAAGCUAGAGUAUGGGAGAGGAUGGUAGAAUUCCAGGUGUAGCGGUGAAAUGCGUAGAGAUCUGGAGGAAUACCGAUGGCGAAGGCAGCCAUCUGGCCUAAUACUGACGCUGAUGUACGAAAGCAUGGGGAGCAAACAGGAUUAGAUACCCGAGUAGUCCCUGUCUCUUAUAC
Molecule: ribosomal RNA, 305 nt
Filed under: uncultured bacterium
Lineage: Bacteria
Description: partial 16S ribosomal RNA
Rfam family: Bacterial small subunit ribosomal RNA
Source: RNAcentral